RNAcentral lists this long non-coding RNA (202 nucleotides) under Eutrema salsugineum. Its description in RNAcentral is "long non-coding RNA (ESAL_LNC000381)". The record is from RNAcentral. Lineage: Eukaryota; Viridiplantae; Streptophyta; Magnoliopsida; Brassicales; Brassicaceae.
GUCUUUAGACGAUAAGCGGUGCAUCAUCAGUCGGAAUGUGACAUUCAAAGAGUCUGAGUGCUACAAGGAUUUACUAAAGAAGAAGGAUGUCACUAAGGAGAGGAAUGUUGCUUUUCUAGAUAUGGAACUUGGUAUUAGUGAACAGAGGGAUGUAAGUUCAGGUGGAGAUGGUCAGGCUAGAGCUGCAGGUGGUAACAUCGAG